This 223-nucleotide transfer RNA is filed under the name Paramuricea clavata. The record is from RNAcentral. Lineage: Eukaryota; Metazoa; Cnidaria; Anthozoa; Malacalcyonacea; Plexauridae.
UUUUUUGUUUUUUUUUCUGUGUUGGUGUUGUGUACUCAGGUGAAUAAUAUGUUUGCGAUGUUACUCUGAGUGCAUGUCCACACCGGGCGAGCUUGAAAAAUAUGCCCGGCCACGGUGGGAUUCGAACCUACGACCUUUGGAACACUAGCCCAAUGCUCUUCCAACUGAGCUACGCGGUCAGGACGGUUCGAGUAAGUGAUAUUUCGGAACAGUAUCUAGUUCC